CGGAAGCAGCAGUGAGGAAUAUUGCGCAAUGGGGGAAACCCUGACGCAGCAACGCCGCGUGGGUGAAGAAGGCUUUCGGGUUGUAAAGCCCUGUCAGGUGGGAAGAACCUUCUGCAGGUGAAUAGUCUGCGGAACUGACGGUACCACCAAAGGAAGCACCGGCUAACUCCGUGCCAGCAGCCGCGGUAAGACGGAGGGUGCAAGCGUUGUUCGGAAUCACUGGGCGUAAAGCGCGUGUAGGCGGUUCGAUAAGUCGAAUGUGAAAGCCCGAGGCUCAACCUCGGAAGUGCAUUCGAAACUGUCGGGCUUGAGUACGGGAGAGGGAAGUGGAAUUCCUGGUGUAGAGGUGAAAUUCGUAGAUAUCAGGAGGAACACCGGUGGCGAAGGCGGCUUCCUGGACCGAUACUGACGCUGAGACGCGAAAGCGUGGGGAGCAAACAGGCUUAGAUACCCCGGUAGA
Molecule: ribosomal RNA, 460 nt
Filed under: uncultured bacterium
Lineage: Bacteria
Description: bacterial SSU rRNA
Rfam family: Bacterial small subunit ribosomal RNA
Source: RNAcentral